AACGCACCUUGCGCUCCUUGGUAUUCCGAGGAGCAUGCCUGUUUGAGUGUCAUGAAAUCAUCAAACUCAUUAGUCUUUGCGGUCUAGUGGGCUUUGGACUUGGAGGCUUGUCGGCGACUGCAAAGUCAUCGACUCCUCUCAAAUGCAUUAGCUUGAUUCCUUGCGGAUCGGCUCUCGGUGUGAUAAUUGUCUACGCCGUGACCGUGAAGCGUUUUGGCGAGCUUCUAAUCGUCUCUUGCGAGACAGCUUACAUUGACCUCUGACCUCAAAUCAGGUAGGACUACCCGCUGAACUUAA
This 297-nucleotide unclassified non-coding RNA is filed under the name uncultured fungus. Its description in RNAcentral is "partial contains 5.8S ribosomal RNA, internal transcribed spacer 2, and large subunit ribosomal RNA". The stretch from base 1 to 52 matches the Rfam family "5.8S ribosomal RNA", at positions 103 to 154 of the family's 154-position model. Lineage: Eukaryota; Fungi. The record is from RNAcentral.